Molecule: ribosomal RNA, 849 nt
Filed under: uncultured Fusarium
Lineage: Eukaryota; Fungi; Ascomycota; Sordariomycetes; Hypocreales; Nectriaceae
Description: eukaryotic LSU rRNA
Rfam family: Eukaryotic large subunit ribosomal RNA
Source: RNAcentral
GCCCUAGUAACGGCGAGUGAAGCGGCAACAGCUCAAAUUUGAAAUCUGGCUUUCGGGCCCGAGUUGUAAUUUGUAGAGGAUACUUUUGAUGCGGUGCCUUCCGAGUUCCCUGGAACGGGACGCCAUAGAGGGUGAGAGCCCCGUCUGGUUGGAUGCCAAAUCUCUGUAAAGUUCCUUCGACGAGUCGAGUAGUUUGGGAAUGCUGCUCUAAAUGGGAGGUAUAUGUCUUCUAAAGCUAAAUAUUGGCCAGAGACCGAUAGCGCACAAGUAGAGUGAUCGAAAGAUGAAAAGCACUUUGAAAAGAGAGUUAAAAAGUACGUGAAAUUGUUGAAAGGGAAGCGUUUAUGACCAGACUUGGACUUGGUUAAUCAUCUGGGGUUCUCCCCAGUGCACUUUUCCAGUUCAGGCCAGCAUCAGUUUUCGCCGGGGGAUAAAGGCUUCGGGAAUGUAGCUCUCUUCGGGGAGUGUUAUAGCCCGUUGUGUAAUACCCUGGCGGAGACUGAGGUUCGCGCUUCUGCAAGGAUGCUGGCGUAAUGGUCAUCAACGACCCGUCUUGAAACACGGACCAAGGAGUCGUCUUCGUAUGCGAGUGUUCGGGUGUCAAACCCCUACGCGUAAUGAAAGUGAACGCAGGUGAGAGCUUCGGCGCAUCAUCGACCGAUCCUGAUGUUCUCGGAUGGAUUUGAGUAAGAGCAUACGGGGCCGGACCCGAAAGAAGGUGAACUAUGCCUGUAUAGGGUGAAGCCAGAGGAAACUCUGGUGGAGGCUCGCAGCGGUUCUGACGUGCAAAUCGAUCGUCAAAUAUGGGCAUGGGGGCGAAAGACUAAUCGAACCUUCUAGUAGCUGGUU